Molecule: ribosomal RNA, 253 nt
Filed under: uncultured bacterium
Lineage: Bacteria
Description: partial 16S ribosomal RNA
Rfam family: Bacterial small subunit ribosomal RNA
Source: RNAcentral
UACGGAGGGUGCGAGCGUUGUCCGGAAUCACUGGGCGUAAAGGGCGCGUAGGCGGCCUGAUAAGUAGGGGGUGAAAUCCUGUGGCUUAACCGCAGGGCUGCCUUCUAAACUGUCGGGCUAGAGCACAGUAGAGGCAGGUGGAAUUCCCGGUGUAGCGGUGGAAUGCGUAGAGAUCGGGAAGAACAUCAGUGGCGAAGGCGGCCUGCUAGGCCGUAACUGACACUGAGGGACGAAAGCUAGGGGAGCGAAUGGG